GACGAACGCUGGCGGCGUGCUUAACACAUGCAAGUCGAACGGAAAGGCCCUGCUUUUGUGGGGUGCUCGAGUGGCGAACGGGUGAGUAACACGUGAGUAACCUGCCCUUGACUUUGGGAUAACUUCAGGAAACUGGGGCUAAUACCGGAUAGGAGCUCCUGCUGCAUGGUGGGGGUUGGAAAGUUUCGGCGGUUGGGGAUGGACUCGCGGCUUAUCAGCUUGUUGGUGGGGUAGUGGCUUACCAAGGCUUUGACGGGUAGCCGGCCUGAGAGGGUGACCGGCCACAUUGGGACUGAGAUACGGCCCAGACUCCUACGGGAGGCAGCAGUGGGGAAUAUUGCACAAGGGGCGGAAGCCUGAUGCAGCAACGCCGCGUGCGGGAUGACGGCCUUCGGGUUGUAAACCGCUUUCGCCUGUGACGAAGCGUGAGUGACGGUAAUGGGUAAAGAAGCACCGGCUAACGACGUGA
Molecule: ribosomal RNA, 469 nt
Filed under: uncultured bacterium
Lineage: Bacteria
Description: partial 16S ribosomal RNA
Rfam family: Bacterial small subunit ribosomal RNA
Source: RNAcentral